GGCAGUUUUUUUCUUCUUCUCUUUUUCUUUUUCUUCUUCUCUUUUUCUUUUUGCUUUUCCUUCGAAAACCCAACGACCGUGGCCAUAAAUGGUGAUAAUAAAUGAUCGUUGUUGACAUUCUUCUUCUUCUUCAUGGUUUCAUGCUCUCUGUACCUGAUCAAAGAAUUAAAGUGUUAACACAGAAGCAGGGAGUAAAAGAAGGAUGGAUGGGAGAUGGAUACCGAUCCAAAGACAGAAACUGACAUGGAAACAUGCAUGCUCUAUUGCUCUUCUUCUUUUCCCUAUCUGGGUCUGUAUUGGAUGUGUAAAUGAAGCUUUUUGUUAGCCUUGUUACCCAAGAAAGAUGAUUAAUCAAUGAAGGAUCAUUAAUUGACUGGCUUUUAUUUUUUUUACCUGACUGGAUUUUGUAAGGAAGAACAGGACAGUGGCUUUUUCUGUAAAUACAGACUGGAGCAGAGUGAAAAUUUCAAAAAAUUUUGUAGUGGUCUUCUGUCAUCUGUGCUU
RNAcentral lists this long non-coding RNA (504 nucleotides) under Zostera marina. RNAcentral describes it as "long non-coding RNA (ZMAR_LNC006162)". Lineage: Eukaryota; Viridiplantae; Streptophyta; Magnoliopsida; Alismatales; Zosteraceae. The record is from RNAcentral.